RNAcentral lists this long non-coding RNA (374 nucleotides) under Physcomitrium patens. Its description in RNAcentral is "long non-coding RNA (PPAT_LNC013397)". Lineage: Eukaryota; Viridiplantae; Streptophyta; Bryopsida; Funariales; Funariaceae. The record is from RNAcentral.
UACAUAACUUAAAAGAUAUGAAGUUCUUUUUCAUGCUUCUUUUAACUAUUAACUAAUCAUUGAUAGGAUUUUUGUAAGUAAUACAUGUAGAUAUGAGGCUAAUAUAGACAUUAAUCUCAAUUACUAAUCAUUAAUACUCAAUAAUGAGUGAAAAUACUACAUCAACUAAGAUAAUUGCUUCCAAGACUUACUAAGAUUCUAUUUUUGUAAAUUUUCUUCUAAUAAGACUUUUAUACUUAUAAAUACUUCUAAAUUAUAAUAAAUAUGUAAAUAGUGAAAAAGACUCUCUAACUUUAGUAUUUAUUUCAUUAAAUGACUCAAUACUAUAUUUUUAACCAAUCCACCAAUUAAGAUCCAUUGGUCGGACUCACACU